RNAcentral lists this ribosomal RNA (1248 nucleotides) under Candidatus Phytoplasma citri. Its description in RNAcentral is "bacterial SSU rRNA". It matches the Rfam family "Bacterial small subunit ribosomal RNA", at positions 153 to 1399 of the family's 1533-position model. The record is from RNAcentral. Lineage: Bacteria; Bacillati; Mycoplasmatota; Mollicutes; Acholeplasmatales; Acholeplasmataceae.
ACGACUGCUGCUAAGACUGGAUAGGAAGAUAAAAGGCAUCUUGUAUCUUUUAAAAGACCUAGUUAAUAGGUAUGCUUUAGGAGGGGCUUGCGCCAUAUUAGUUAGUUGGUAGGGUAAUGGCCUACCAAGACGAUGAUGUGUAGCUGGACUGAGAGGUUGAACAGCCACAUUGGGACUGAGACACGGCCCAAACUCCUACGGGAGGCAGCAGUAGGGAAUUUUCGGCAAUGGAGGAAACUCUGACCGAGCAACGCCGCGUGAAUGACGAAGUACUUCGGUAUGUAAAGUUCUUUUAUCGAGGAAGAAAAGCAAAUGGCGAACCAUUUGUUUGCCGGUACUUGAUGAAUAAGCCCCGGCUAAUUAUGUGCCAGCAGCCGCGGUAAGACAUAAGGGGCAAGUGUUAUCCGGAAUUAUUGGGCGUAAAGGGUGCGUAGGCGGUCUAGUAAGUCAGUGGUGUAAUGUCAACGCUUAACGUUGUCCGGCUAUUGAAACUGCUAAACUUGAGUUAGAUAGAGGCGAGUGGAAUUCCAUGUGUAGCGGUAAAAUGCGUAAAUAUAUGGAGGAACACCAGAGGCGUAGGCGGCUCGCUGGGUCUUAACUGACGCUGAGGCACGAAAGCGUGGGGAGCAAACAGGAUUAGAUACCCUGGUAGUCCACGCCGUAAACGAUGAGUACUAAGUGUCGGGUUAAACCGGUACUGAAGUUAACACAUUAAGUACUCCGCCUGAGUAGUACGUACGCAAGUAUGAAACUUAAAGGAAUUGACGGGACUCCGCACAAGCGGUGGAUCAUGUUGUUUAAUUCGAAGAUACCCGAAAAACCUUACCAGGUCUUGACAUGUUUUUGCAAAAUGAUAGUAAUAUCGUGGAGGUUACCAGAAACACAGGUGGUGCAUGGUUGUCGUCAGCUCGUGUCGUGAGAUGUUAGGUUAAGUCCUAAAACGAGCGAAACCCUUAUCGUUAGUUGCCAGCACGUUAUGGUGGGGACUUUAACGAGACUGCCAAUGAUAAAUUGGAGGAAGGUGAGGAUCACGUCAAAUCAGCAUGCCCCUUAUGACCUGGGCUACAAACGUGAUACAAUGGCUGUUACAAAGGGUAGCUGAAACGCAAGUUCUUGGCCAAUCCCCAAAAACAGUCCCAGUCCGGAUUGAAGUCUGCAACUCGACUUCAUGAAGUUGGAAUCGCUAGUAAUCGCGAAUCAGCAUGUCGCGGUGAAUACGUUCUCGGGGUUUGUACACACCGCCCGUCA